Onychostoma macrolepis is the source of this 864-nucleotide RNA transcript. It is a transcript of the gene named peroxisomal N(1)-acetyl-spermine/spermidine oxidase-like, with no coding region annotated. The record is from RefSeq and is a predicted model, not a curated record. NCBI's taxonomy places the organism in Eukaryota, Metazoa, Chordata, Actinopteri, Cypriniformes, Cyprinidae. The transcript is spliced from 2 exons.
UCCUCAGUUAAACGAAACAUUUAGUUCAGUCCCUUCAUGAGAGUGUCGUGAACCAACAGAUUCGAUGGCACAACGUUCAGCUCGUGAUUCUCAGAUAUUCAUAAUCGGAUGCGGCAUCUCAGGAAUUGGUGCAGCUCAGAAAUUACUUAAACAUGGUGUGUACGUAACGUGAUGUGUACAUAAUGUACACAUCAUAGAAGCGACUGCGAGAAGCUGGGGGAGAAUACGAACGGGCAGACUGGGUGAUAACAUUGCAGAGAUCGGCGCCAACUGGAUCCAUGGCCCACCAAAGGAAAACCCAGUGUUUCGUUUGGCAUGUGAAUACCAGCUUCUUGACAAAAAGUCAAUGUCUGAAGAAAAUCAGGCCAUUGUUUGUUCCUAACUGGUUUACCAGUUCAGGUCGGAAACUGAGGCCUGAGAAACUGAGGCCAGUGGUGGAGUUUUUUAUAAACUUAUUGAAAAGGAGUCAACAGUUCCAUGACAGCGGUGGAGAACCUCUGCCGAGUGUUGGGGAGUUUGUCAAGGCAGAGGUUGAACGACUGGCCCCAGAAGAGUGGAAGGAGGACCAGGCUAACACUGCAUUAAGACUGGGCAUGAUAAACACACUGCUGAAGCUGGAGUGCUGUGUCAGUGGAACCCACACGAUGGAUGAUGUAGGCCUGAUAGGCCUGAUGUAAGCCAGUAUAAUGGCUUACAAUUAUACUGCAUGACUGCAUUAAAAUGCCAUCCAAUUUAAUCACAUUCAGCAAAUGUUGAUUUGUGGGUAUCUAAAAAUUUCAAAUAAUGCCUGUACUUUGCACAAAUUUUAAUUGUUUUUUUUUGGUGACCUUAAAAUAUUUUUGUAUUAAACACCUUAUACUUUAU